AACGUAGCCGAUACGAUACAUCCUGGUGGCGAGUGGCGAACGGGUGACUAUAUAUAUCGGAACGUGCCCAGUCGUGGGGGAUAACGCAGCGAAAGCUGUGCUAAUACCGCAUACGAUCUACGGAUGAAAGCGGGGGAUCGCAAGACCUCGCGCGAUUGGAGCGGCUGAUAUCAGAUUAGCUAGUUGGUGGGGUAAAGGCCUACCAAGGCGACGAUCUGUAGCUGGUCUGAGAGGACGACCAGCCACACUGGAACUGAGACACGGUCCAGACUCCUACGGGAGGCAGCAGUGGGGAAUUUUGGACAAUGGGCGCAAGCCUGAUCCAGCAAUGCCGCGUGCAGGAUGAAGGCCUUCGGGUUGUAAACUGCUUUUGUACGGAACGAAAAGGUCUUUCUUAAUACGAGAGAUUUAUGACGGUACCGUAAGAAUAAGCACCGGCUAACUACGUGCCAGCAGCCGCGGUAAUACGUAGGGUGCGAGCGUUAAUCGGAAUUACUGGGCGUAAAGCGUGCGCAGGCGGUUUUGUAAGACAGAUGUGAAAUCCCCGGGCUCAACCUGGGACCUGCAUUUGUGACUGCAAGGCUAGAGUACGGUAGAGGGGGAUGGAAUUCCGCGUGUAGCAGUGAAAUGCGUAGAUAUGCGGAGGAACACCGAUGGCGAAGGCUAUCCCCUGGACCUGUACUGACGCUCAUGCACGAUAGCGUGGGGAGCAAACAGGAUUAGAUAUCCUGGUAGUCCACACCCUAUACGAU
RNAcentral lists this ribosomal RNA (752 nucleotides) under Comamonadaceae bacterium. Its description in RNAcentral is "bacterial SSU rRNA". It matches the Rfam family "Bacterial small subunit ribosomal RNA", at positions 65 to 810 of the family's 1533-position model. Lineage: Bacteria; Pseudomonadati; Pseudomonadota; Betaproteobacteria; Burkholderiales; Comamonadaceae. The record is from RNAcentral.